CUUGCAAUUUCCAGUACGAAUAUUUAUAAUGUAUCUUGCCACGCAAGUGGUGAUGAUUCUGAAUUCGUUGCGGAAUAAUCGUUUUGGACUGGGGGGCGGUACCCCACAGCUCCACCAAUAUUUUCUUAUGGGGCUGACAUAGUUUCGACAGGCGAAGUAAAGGCAAAUCGAUUGAAUCCGGGUUGUUCCGUUAUAAACAAACUAAAAACUGAAUGGCGAUAGAAUCGCUGCGAACGACAAUGUUCGCUUUGCAAUGGCUGCCUAAGAUGGCGUUGAAAUACGUUGGCAAUUGUUGAUGUAUUUCGUUUAGCUUUUGCGGGGUUCAUCGGGUACCUGGCACCAGAAACCC
RNAcentral lists this transfer-messenger RNA (349 nucleotides) under bovine gut metagenome. RNAcentral describes it as "Alphaproteobacteria transfer-messenger RNA". It matches the Rfam family "Alphaproteobacteria transfer-messenger RNA". Rfam says of the family: Bacterial tmRNA, also known as 10Sa RNA or SsrA, is named for its dual tRNA and mRNA-like properties. Its role is to liberate the mRNA from a stalled ribosome. The record is from RNAcentral.